GACGAACGCUGGCGGCGUGCUUAACACAUGCAAGUCGAACGGAAAGGCCCUGCUUGCAGGGUACUCGAGUGGCGAACGGGUGAGUAACACGUGGGUGAUCUGCCCUGCACUUCGGGAUAAGCCUGGGAAACUGGGUCUAUUACCGGAUAUGACCUUCCAUGUAGUGUGGGGGGUGGAAAGAUUUAUCGGUGUGGGAUGAGCCCGCGGCCUAUCAGCUUGUUGGUGGGGUAAUGGCCUACCAAGGCGUCGACGGGUAGCCGGCCUGAGAGGGUGGACGGCCACAUUGGGACUGAGAUACGGCCCAGACUCCUACGGGAGGCAGCAGUGGGGAAUAUUGCACAAUGGGCGGAAGCCUUAUGCAGCGACGCCGCGUGGGGGAUGACGGCCUUCGGGUUGUAAACCUCUUUCGACAGGGACGAAGCUUCGGUGACGGUACCUGUAGAAGAAGCACCGGCUAACUACGUG
This 465-nucleotide ribosomal RNA is filed under the name uncultured bacterium. RNAcentral's name for it is "partial 16S ribosomal RNA". It matches the Rfam family "Bacterial small subunit ribosomal RNA", at positions 28 to 507 of the family's 1533-position model. The record is from RNAcentral.